Molecule: ribosomal RNA, 694 nt
Filed under: uncultured bacterium
Lineage: Bacteria
Description: bacterial SSU rRNA
Rfam family: Bacterial small subunit ribosomal RNA
Source: RNAcentral
AACGCUAGCUACAGGCUUAACACAUGCAAGUCGCGGGGUAACGAGAGGGAAGCUUGCUUUCCUUGUCGACGACCGGCGCACGGGUGAGUAACGCGUAUCCAACCUGCCCAUUACCACGGGAUACCCCGUCGAAAGGCGGCCUAAUACCGUAUGCAGUCGUCAGAUGACAUCAGAGGACGACGAAAGGAUUGGCGGUAAUGGAUGGGGAUGCGUCUGAUUAGGUAGUUGGAGGGGUAACGGCCCACCAAGCCAUCGAUCAGUAGGGGUUCUGAGAGGAAGGUCCCCCACAUUGGAACUGAGACACGGUCCAAACUCCUACGGGAGGCAGCAGUGAGGAAUAUUGGUCAAUGGGCGCGAGCCUGAACCAGCCAAGUAGCGUGAGGGAUGACGGCCCUAUGGGUUGUAAACCUCUUUUAUGCGGGAAUAAACGAAUCCACGCGUGGAUUUUUGCAUGUACCGUAUGAAUAAGGAUCGGCUAACUCCGUGCCAGCAGCCGCGGUAAUACGGAGGAUCCGAGCGUUAUCCGGAUUUAUUGGGUUUAAAGGGAGCGUAGAUGGGUUGUUAAGUCAGUUGUGAAAGUUUGCGGCUCAACCGUAAAAUUGCAAUUGAUACUGGCAGUCUUGAGUACAGUUGAGGUAGGCGGAAUUCGUGGUGUAGCGGUGAAAUGCUUAGAUAUCACGAAGAACUCCGAUUG